UACGUAGGAGGCGAGCGUUGUCCGGAGUUACUGGGCGUAAAGCGCGUGUAGGCGGCCCUGCAAGUCGGAUGUGAAAUCCCACGGCUCAACCGUGGAAGUGCAUUCGAAACUGCAGGGCUAGAGUCCUGGAGAGGAAGGUGGAAUGCUUGGUGUAGAGGUGAAAUUCGUAGAUAUCAAGCGGAACACCGGUGGCGAAGGCGGCCUUCUGGACAGUGACUGACGCUGAGGUGCGAAAGCGUGGGGAGCAAACAGG
RNAcentral lists this ribosomal RNA (253 nucleotides) under uncultured bacterium. RNAcentral describes it as "partial 16S ribosomal RNA". It matches the Rfam family "Bacterial small subunit ribosomal RNA", at positions 524 to 776 of the family's 1533-position model. The record is from RNAcentral.